This 805-nucleotide ribosomal RNA is filed under the name uncultured organism. RNAcentral's name for it is "bacterial SSU rRNA". It matches the Rfam family "Bacterial small subunit ribosomal RNA", at positions 614 to 1410 of the family's 1533-position model. The record is from RNAcentral.
GGGAAAUUGCAGUGGCGAACUGAUAUUCUUGAGGCAAGUAGGGGUGCAUGGAACUCUUGGUGGACCGGUGGAAUGCGUAGAUAUCAAGAGGAACGCCGAUGGUGAAGACAGUGCACUGGGCUUGUCCUGACGCUGAGGUGCGAAAGCGUGGGGAGCGAACGGGAUUAGAUACCCCGGUAGUCCACGCCGUAAACGAUGCCUACUAGGUCGUGGUUGUUCUGACACACUCACGGCCGAAGCAAAAGUGUUUAGUAGGCCGCCUGGGGAGUACGGUCGCAAGGCUAAAACUCAAAGGAAUUGACGGGGGCUCACACAAGCGGUGGAGCAUGUGGAUUAAUUCGAAGCAACGCGCAGAACCUUACCUGGGUUUGACAUGUAUGGAUGCCUGCUGUGAAAACAGUUAGGUUGCCUUCGGGUGAAACUUACACAGGUGCUGCAUGGCUGUCGUCAGCUCGUGUCGUGAGAUGUCGGGUUAAGUCCUUUAACGAGCGAAACCCUUGCCGUUAGUUGCCAGCGGGUCAUGCCGGGGACUCUAACGGGACUGCCGGUGUCAAACCGGAGGAAGGUGGGGAUGACGUCAAGUCCUCAUGGCCUUUAUGCCCAGGGCCUCACGCGUGCUACAAUGGGUGCUACAGAGCGACGCGAGACCGCGAGGUGGAGCUAAUCGCAAAAAAGCAUCCUCAGUUCGGAUUGCAGGCUGGCAAUUCGCCUGCAUGAAGUUGGAAUCGCUAGUAAUCGCGUAUCAGCUAUGACGCGGUGAAUGUGUUCCUGAGCAUUGUACACACCGCCCGUCAAGUGAUGGAAG